This 406-nucleotide ribosomal RNA is filed under the name uncultured bacterium. RNAcentral's name for it is "bacterial SSU rRNA". It matches the Rfam family "Bacterial small subunit ribosomal RNA", at positions 30 to 437 of the family's 1533-position model. The record is from RNAcentral.
AUUGAACGCUGGCGGCAUGCCUUACACAUGCAAGUCGAACGGCAGCACGGGAGCAAUCCUGGUGGCGAGUGGCGAACGGGUGAGUAAUAUAUCGGAACGUGCCCAGUCGUGGGGAUAACGCAGCGAAAGCUGUGCUAAUACCGCAUACGAUCUACGGAUGAAAGCGGGGGAUCGCAAGACCUCGCGCGAUUGGAGCGGCCGAUAUCAGAUUAGCUAGUUGGUGGGGUAAAGGCCCACCAAGGCGACGAUCUGUAGCUGGUCUGAGAGGACGACCAGCCACACUGGAACUGAGACACGGUCCAGACUCCUACGGGAGGCAGCAGUGGGGAAUUUUUGGGACAAUGGGCGCAAGCCUGAUCCAGCAAUGCCGCGUGCAGGAUGAAGGCCUUCGGUUGUAACUGCUUUG